This 285-nucleotide unclassified non-coding RNA is filed under the name Hevea brasiliensis (rubber tree). Lineage: Eukaryota; Viridiplantae; Streptophyta; Magnoliopsida; Malpighiales; Euphorbiaceae. The record is from RNAcentral.
GUCCUCCACUCCUCAUCCCAAAACUACCAGACCGACUCUCAGCGGAUCCUAGGAUCUCCAACACACGUGUCCUCGCAACUACACGCGUCUUCUGCUCAUGGGGUUACUAAAACCGGAAAUUGGCGGCCUGGAUCUAAAGUUAAACACGUUACUCUACAGAUAUGGGUCCAAUGGGCCUCCAGGCCCAGCUCAUUCAUGGGACCCUGUAAGCAACGUGUACGAUCCAGAACUUCUGCAGUUCUACUAGCUUGUAAUCUACAAAACAAGUUUGGGCGUAUUUCUUGU